GACGGGACCCGCACAAGCGGUGGAUGAUGUGGAUUAAUUCGAUGCAACGCGAAAACCUUACCUACCCUUGACAUGUCCGGAAUCCCGAAGAGAUUUGGGAGUGCUCGCAAGAGAACCGGAACACAGGUGCUGCAUGGCUGUCGUCAGCUCGUGUCGUGAGAUGUUGGGUUAAGUCCCGCAACGAGCGCAACCCUUGUCAUUAGUUGCCAUCAUUUGGUUGGGCACUCUAAUGAGACUGCCGGUGACAAACCGGAGGAAGGUGGGGAUGACGUCAAGUCCUCAUGGCCCUUAUGGGUAGGGCUUCACACGUCAUACAAUGGUCGGUACAGAGGGUUGCCAACCCGCGAGGGGGAGCUAAUCCCACAAAGCCGAUCGUAGUCCGGAUCGCAGUCUGCAACUCGACUGCGUGAAGUCGGAAUCGCUAGUAAUCGCGGAUCAGCAUGUCGCGGUGAAUACGUUCCCGGGUCUU
RNAcentral lists this ribosomal RNA (469 nucleotides) under uncultured Rhodocyclaceae bacterium. RNAcentral describes it as "bacterial SSU rRNA". It matches the Rfam family "Bacterial small subunit ribosomal RNA", at positions 916 to 1381 of the family's 1533-position model. Lineage: Bacteria; Pseudomonadati; Pseudomonadota; Betaproteobacteria; Rhodocyclales; Rhodocyclaceae. The record is from RNAcentral.